UUUAAUGAACAAAUGUAGCGUGAUCGACACCAAUCAAAGACUUCCGCGAAUCUUAAGUACUAAAUAUUUUAUUUUUGAUAUUAAGGAUUUUUAGGGAUUAUCUUAGGACAUCACAGACACUGUCGUAUAUAUACAAAAAUCCAACUUUUAAGACUUGUUUUAAGUAUCUGUCGUCUACAAUUAAGCUGUGUUUUAUAGAUUUGUUUAAUGCUGUUCAUAUUUGUGUCUAGUGAGAAUUCUACUGCAGAAAGUAUAGUGUAUCAAUAUCGACCCAUCGCUAAUCAUGUAUUAAUGGUUAAAAAGGGUCAUGGCUGCUACGCUUAUAACAGUACCCUGCAAGAGUGACAUGAUAUACACGACCCUGCUGAAAGUAUAUGCACUUGAGGCAAAGAUUAUACUCAUUCUGCAGACACCAACGAAAUAUUUCAGAAACAUCACUAAAGAUGCUUACAAAAACGAUCUCAGAUUUUAUUAUCGUAUAUGCAACCGUGGAAACAAUACAU
Long non-coding RNA from Mytilus californianus (California mussel), 503 nucleotides. RefSeq lists it as uncharacterized. NCBI's taxonomy places the organism in Eukaryota, Metazoa, Mollusca, Bivalvia, Mytilida, Mytilidae. The record is from RefSeq and is a predicted model, not a curated record. The transcript has 3 exons.